Molecule: long non-coding RNA, 1599 nt
Organism: Microplitis demolitor
Lineage: Eukaryota; Metazoa; Arthropoda; Insecta; Hymenoptera; Braconidae
Product: putative gustatory receptor 28b
Exons: 5
Source: RefSeq, a predicted model, not a curated record
UGGAAAACAUUCUCGCGGUAUCCAUCAGUCAUAAUUGCGACACUGCAAAAUAAACACGGUUUAUUAUAUUUUUCCAAUAAAAUAUGAACAAAAUAAUGGGACGAAUAAAAUUUGACAAGUUGAAGGAAGAAUUUAAUUUCAAAAGAUAUAAUUCAGUGUGUUACCGUUAUUUGACAUUUAUGUUAUACAUUUGGUUCAAAAUAAUAGGAUUAUUGCCGUGGAAAAUGGAGACCGGAUUAUUUAAUAAAAUUCAAAAAGUCGAAAAUAAAAAUUUAAAAUCAACUUUUUCAUACAUAGGAUCGUGUUAUAAUAUUUUAUUAGUUUCAGUUAUUGUUUCAUUGGAUAUUUAUAUAAUAUACGAUAUAUUACCGCCUGAAAUCGAAACCCGUGUGACAAUAGACACAGUGACACUAAAAAUUUCAUUCGUUUUAUUACUGUGUGCAAGUGUAAUACCACUUAUUUACGUUUUUCGGCAGAAACUGCUGAUAAAUGUUCUCAACCGCUUCAAAAAUCUGGACAAAAAAUUGAAUAAGUGUGCGGACUUUAAAGUAGAAAAUGAUUAUACCAAUUAUUUGAUAUUGACAAUUAAUUUUGUGUUGGGGUGUUGCCUAAUAAUGAUGAGGGAAAUGUAUUACAUGUCAUUGAAAAAAGUAUUUCUCACGAGUUUAUCAUUUUUUAUCAGCAGUUUUGUGAUAGUACAGUAUGCAAUGUCACUAAAUAUGAUAAAAACACGAUUCAAAAGUAUUAAUUCAACACUUUUUAAACUGGGAACUUCUGAAAGCAAAAUAUCGCUAUCGCGUGCGACAGUUCUUGAUGACAUUGGCAGUAUUAAAUGCGCGUACGUCGAAUUAUGUGAAAUGAGUGACGAUACCGCAAGUUUUUAUGGAAUACCUAUGUUGAUUGUCGUAAUUAUUUUUUCUGUAAAGAAUAUAUUCAACUUAUACUACAUCAUUUUGAUCUUAAUUCAAGUACAAGAAGUCGAUCUUAGAAUGUAUCAGUACCUAUUAUUUUUACUACGGAAUAUUUUCUUAUUCACUGUAUUAACGACUAAUGUCACAAAAAUAAUAAAACAGAAUAAAAAAACCGCUAGGAUUAUUAAUUUACUUAUCGAUCGAUAUGCAGCGGAUGUCAUCAUUAAAAAAAAAUUGAUCAAAUUUUCUGACGAUCUCUGGCAUCUGACCGUCGAAUUUACCGCCUAUGACAUCAUUCCUCUCGAUCGAACUCUUCUAGUAGUGAUUUCUGGAACCAUUGCAACCUACUUGGUCAUUGCAGUCCAGUUCCGCGUCAGCGCAUUUUUCGUUAAUAAUUAGAAGGUUUACAAGGUGUUCAAUGAGUGUGCGAAUUCAUAUUUAUUUGAAUUUUAAAAUUUGCUCACAUGCGUGAUUACAUUUUUAAAAAUUAUUGUGACCGAAAAAAACGAUAAUUGUACUGCUGGUUAAUAAAUAAUUUGGUAAUCCAGUCUAUUAUUUAAAAGGAAAAUUGACGUCUCUUAACUGUCACAAUUAUUGGAAAUCUAUUUAUGAGAUAUAUGAAAGCAAUUAAAACUCUUUCUCUAUUAAGUCUUUAUAGACUAUUUGGCAAACUAAUAGGAUGGACUCU